Molecule: non-coding RNA, 484 nt
Organism: Hydra vulgaris (swiftwater hydra)
Lineage: Eukaryota; Metazoa; Cnidaria; Hydrozoa; Anthoathecata; Hydridae
Source: RefSeq, a predicted model, not a curated record
AUAAAACCCUAGAGUUGUCAGCUAAGAGGCGCUGUGAAAGGAUUGCAGCAGUUAAUAGACAAAAAGAACCAAACAAAUUCUCGAAAGUAUGCUCUACUCACUUUAAUUCAGGUAAACCAGAUGUAGUGUAUGACGUCACCAUCCCAGAUUGGGUUCCUAGUUUAUUGUUGUCUGUAUCAGAAAGGCAACCACAAGAUAAAGAGACAGGCACCUCCACUCUCCCCAAAACUUCAAAAGUUUCAAGAUUCUGUAUCUCAAUGAUAUCCUGGCUUAUCGAUACGAUAUCCUGUAUAUCCAUUCACACACAUAAAUUUUACUCACACACGUAAAUCCUGUAAAUUUACUCACACUUAUAAAUCUUAAAAAAGAUGUUUAUAUUUUUAUCUAUAAUUUGUAAAUUUUAUAUAAAUAAAAAUGUAUAUUUUUUAUGUUUUUCAUUUUAUAUUACUAUUUGUAUUAAAAAUCGACUUUCGAAAUAUUGUAA